This 253-nucleotide ribosomal RNA is filed under the name uncultured bacterium. RNAcentral describes it as "partial 16S ribosomal RNA". It matches the Rfam family "Bacterial small subunit ribosomal RNA", at positions 524 to 776 of the family's 1533-position model. The record is from RNAcentral.
UACGGGGGGGGUAAGCGUUGUUCGGAAUUACUGGGCGUAAAGGGCUCGUAGGCGGCCAACUAAGUCAGACGUGAAAUCCCUCAGCUUAACUGGGGAACUGCGUCUGAUACUGGAUGGCUUGGAUUUGGGAGAGGGAUGCGGAAUUCCAGGUGUAGCGGUGAAAUGCGUAGAUAUCUGGAGGAACACCGGUGGCGAAGGCGGCAUCCUGGACCAAUAUUGACACUGAGGAGCGAAAGCCAGGGGAGCAAACGGG